GACGAACGCUGGCGGCGUGCUUAACACAUGCAAGUCGAACGGAAAGGCCUUUUCGGAGGUACUCGAGUGGCGAACGGGUGAGUAACACGUGGUGAUCUGCCCUGCACUCUGGGAUAAGCCUGGGAAACUGGGUCUAAUACCGGAUAGGACCGCACUUUAGUGUGUGUGGUGGAAAGUUUUUUCGGUGUAGGAUGAGCCCGCGGCCUAUCAGCUUGUUGGUGGGGUAAUGGCCUACCAAGGCGGCGACGGGUAGCCGGACUGAGAGGUUGGUCGGCCACAUUGGGACUGAGAUACGGCCCAGACUCCUACGGGAGGCAGCAGUGGGGAAUAUUGCACAAUGGGCGCAAGCCUGAUGCAGCGACGCCGCGUGGGGGAUGACGGCCUUCGGGUUGUAAACUCCUUUCGCCAGGGACGAAGCGUUUUGUGACGGUACCUGGAGAAGAAGCACCGGCUAACUACGUG
RNAcentral lists this ribosomal RNA (462 nucleotides) under uncultured bacterium. RNAcentral describes it as "partial 16S ribosomal RNA". It matches the Rfam family "Bacterial small subunit ribosomal RNA", at positions 28 to 507 of the family's 1533-position model. The record is from RNAcentral.